GUCUGCGUCGCUUAGUGGUUAAAGCAUCUCGUUGUGGUCUUGUCCCUCAGCGAAUUCCGAGGAGCCGCGUGUUCGAUUCACGCCGCGGACA
Mycena rebaudengoi is the source of this 91-nucleotide non-coding RNA. NCBI's taxonomy places the organism in Eukaryota, Fungi, Basidiomycota, Agaricomycetes, Agaricales, Mycenaceae. The record is from the annotation of a GenBank genome assembly.